AGAAAAGGCGCUUGGUCCUCCCGAAAGCAUUUGGAAGACCGUCUCUUUAAUCGCCCUUACGGAGAGGGGGUUGAAUCAGGUCGUCGGGAUUUUCGUCAGCCCUGCCUGUUUCUCGCCUAUUUUCCUUUGAAACCUGGCUGCCCUUCCCUCUUCACCACUGGAAGCUUUCAAGAGAAGACUGGACUGCCAUCUGUCAGAAAUGGUGUAGGGUUGCCUGCUUGGGCCGGGGGGGUUGGGCUAGAUGACCUACGAGGUCCCUUUCAACUCUUAUAAUUCUGUUGCUUCUUUCUCUCGCCGCCCAGUUUUCGCACUCGGGGCGACCCCGAUUCUCCGCUUCUCCUGCAGCCCACCGAGUUUGACUCAAGAGCCGCUGGGAUCGUGCUGAAGGCAGCGGGUCAAGAGCGGGGCCGCCUCUUAACCUACUCGGGACCUUUCGUUUCGUUUCCAUAACUCAUCCGCUCGACCCCAACAUAACUUUAGCGCUGCUCACGUCCCUCGUGGACGGAUCUUACCCGCCUCACUUCACUCAUCAAUCGAAUCACCCGAUCCCCUCUUCGUCGAUCAUAUUUCUCCCGGUUUGAAUGAGCUUCAUCAAACUCAGUGGAAUUUACUUGCAAUCAAGUUAAAGCUUGCCGGACUAUGCUUUUUCUCCAUGAGCAUCCCCACGUGAUCAGAAUUCAGUCACUUGGCAACUGGCAUUUAUUUAUGACAGUUGCAGUGUCCUAGGCUCGUGUGAUCACCUUUUUUGACCUUCUGACAAGCAAAGUCAAUGGGGAAGUAACUAGAAUAUAUACCCUCCUGAAAUCCUGGCAUAUCACCGUCAGCCUAAUUCAACAGGCAGAUCAAUGAUCCGGAUAGAAGAUAGCUUUCACAGGUAAGCUACUUUGACUUAUGACUGGUCAUUUAGCAACCAUUCAAAGUUUUGGCGGACCUCCCCAGAGCUACUUAUGAGCUAGUUUAGAACUUCCAAAGGCUAAGCCUCCUCUCCAUAAUCACAUGAUCACAUUUUGGGUGCUUGGCAACUAGCUCAUAUUAAUGGUUAUCAAUAUUCCAUGGUCACAUGACCACAACUUACAUUUUUUUUUUAAAUCAGAAUUUAUUUCCAGGUUUUGGAAAAAUCUACCCAUUGUGGACAACGGAUUUGUUUUAACGUCUACAACGUUUGCUUUAUGACAGUUCCAAAAGUCAUAAAAUCGGAUCCAUGUGGUGAUCUACUUAAUAUCCGGUACAAUGUACAAACACAAUUCCAGGCUCAAUUAUCGUUGUACAUCAAGUAGUCUACCUAUAUAAGAAUGCAUCGCCAAUUCAGUGGCAUUUCACAGAUGGUUCAAUAUAUUAAAUAGUAGAAAUCUAACAUUGUUACUGAAACAUUCAAAUUUAUUCAAAAUGAUAGUGUUUGCUGGAGUAACAUGAAUGUUUUUUAAUGGCUUGACUAAAAUUACACUUAUGCUUUCUACUAGCCAUAUUACAAAAUGUGCAUCAAAAUUCCUGCUAGAUUUUCUUGGAGGUUCAAUUGCCUUUGUUGUCCAUACAAUUUAAAGAAAUCAGCUGUUUUUUAAUGCAAGCUAAAAGUAUAUUAAUUUGUGUGCUCUAUGUGAUACUUUGUGAUUGGCUGAUUUUUACUAUUUUGCUAUGAUAAACUAAAAAAAUUAAAUUAGAAAAUAUUGAGUGAUUAUCCUGCUUUCUAUCGCCAUCUAGUGUACAAAACAAACAUUAAAAUUCAGACCAGGGUAUCCUGCCUUUCAUUUUUUAUAGCAAAAUCCAACCUGUUGCUGCAGCUUUAUUAAAAUCAACAUACUGAAUCUAUAUUAAAAAUCAAUUGGGUCAGUAAAAAAAGAAUACACAAAGUUAUUAAUAGUCUUUGUUGUGUUUACAGCUAUUUAUUUUAAGGCAAGGCAGCAAGCAAAGACUAAUGUGGAAACAAAAAAAAAUUGUGAAUAAAAAGAUACCAAUUUCCUUAACUAGCAAUCUCAAAAUUAAUGUAUGCAUUGUGAUUUCAGUUUGUUUCAAGGUAUUAAGUUAUCAAAAGAUUCAGAGGGAAGCAAGAGCAUGGCAGCUGUUCUUUAAAACAAGCAAGUAUGAGUAGAAGAAGCAUACUGGUAUGUCUAAGUAGUCCUAGACAAGAUGCUUUUCUGAACUUCAGGAGAGCUAAUUUCUAGUUAGUACUACAGAACCUACUUUGUAUUAUGCCAUCAGAUGGGCAAAAGUUUGAAUUGGCAUAAGGCAGCUUCUUAUUAUUUUGAGCAAAGUUAUAACGCUAGCAUGUUUUGCUCAUGCUUUCCCUCACCACCCCCCCACCCAAUGUUCCUAAAAAUAUCAGGGUGAUCUUUAUAAUUGUUAGAUGUUGAGAAGCACCAGCCUGGCAGGGAGGGAGCUCACACAGGGAAUUAGCCCUUUUGCAUGUGUGCAGUGACUCUAGGCUAAAACUACUCCUCCACCAGGUUUCUUAGAGCCUUAUCUAAGUGUUCCCAAGUGUAGGCUGCCAGACUGGGGAAAUUCCUCUAUUACAGGUAGAACAUAAUAAUUUAGGUUGGAUUCUGCACAUGUGGAUCGGGUUGUUCACACCUAAAAUAGAUGUAAUUACCAUAGGGAAAUCUUAUCAUAUUUAUAUAAGAUUCAUAUAGUCUUGUAGAUUGUGACCUUCGCACAUAUGCAAGAUAUAUUGAGUCAAUCCAGGAAGGAGCAGGGCCCUGACCAACAGCUGUACUGUAAUUGGAAAAGUCCAUCUUUUGUAAGAAAUGCCACAAAUGGAAAUGAAUGAAGAAGAAUAUAUAUAUAUUUACAUUCAAAAAAUUAAAGGGUGGCAUAUCAAAUGCUAAGUAUUCUAAAAUACCAAGUAUUCUCAAUGAGCUAUAGGCUACAUUACAAACAAAUGCUUUUCUUACCUAUUGCUGUAAAUGUUUUGCGAACACAGACUGUCGACAUA
Long non-coding RNA from Ahaetulla prasina, 2926 nucleotides. RefSeq lists it as uncharacterized. The transcript has 4 exons. Lineage: Eukaryota; Metazoa; Chordata; Lepidosauria; Squamata; Colubridae. The record is from RefSeq and is a predicted model, not a curated record.